AGAGGACCCCUAUAUUAUGUUUUGAUGUUGAUUCUAUCCACUGUUGUCUUCUAGCGCGAGUCGCAAAUUGGUGUGGUUUCACUUUCAAUGAUGUGUGGUGGUGAUGGUAUUGCAGAUAUCAUGGGUAGAAGAUUUGGAAUCCAUAAAAUUCCUUACAACAAACAGAAGAGUUGGGCUGGUAGCAUCUCUAUGUUUACAGUUGGUUUCUUAAUCUCAACCGGGAAUGAAUUCAAACGCUAGAGAGCAGGUCGCGGGAACUGGGGAAGUCAGACUGAUGAAAUUGCUAGGU
Helianthus annuus (common sunflower) is the source of this 289-nucleotide long non-coding RNA. RefSeq lists it as uncharacterized. NCBI's taxonomy places the organism in Eukaryota, Viridiplantae, Streptophyta, Magnoliopsida, Asterales, Asteraceae. The record is from RefSeq and is a predicted model, not a curated record. The transcript has 3 exons.